GCAUUGGUGGUUCAGUGGUAGAAUUAUCACCUUCCAGGUGGGAGGUGCUGGUUUGAUUCUCAGCCAAUGCA
Molecule: transfer RNA, 71 nt
Filed under: Loxodonta africana (African savanna elephant)
Lineage: Eukaryota; Metazoa; Chordata; Mammalia; Proboscidea; Elephantidae
Rfam family: tRNA
About the family: Transfer RNA (tRNA) molecules are approximately 80 nucleotides in length. Their secondary structure includes four short double-helical elements and three loops (D, anti-codon, and T loops). Further hydrogen bonds mediate the characteristic L-shaped molecular structure. tRNAs have two regions of fundamental functional importance: the anti-codon, which is responsible for specific mRNA codon recognition, and the 3' end, to which the tRNAs corresponding amino acid is attached (by aminoacyl-tRNA synthetases). tRNAs cope with the degeneracy of the genetic code in two manners: having more than one tRNA (with a specific anti-codon) for a particular amino acid; and 'wobble' base-pairing, i.e. permitting non-standard base-pairing at the 3rd anti-codon position.
Source: Rfam by way of RNAcentral